UGCAGUCGAGCGGAACGAGUUAACUGAACCUUCGGGGGACGUUAACGGCGUCGAGCGGCGGACGGGUGAGUAAUGCCUGGGAAAUUGCCCUGAUGUGGGGGAUAACCAUUGGAAACGAUGGCUAAUACCGCAUAAUAGCUUCGGCUCAAAGAGGGGGACCUUCGGGCCUCUCGCGUCAGGAUAUGCCCAGGUGGGAUUAGCUAGUUGGUGAGGUAAUGGCUCACCAAGGCGACGAUCCCUAGCUGGUCUGAGAGGAUGAUCAGCCACACUGGAACUGAGACACGGUCCAGACUCCUACGGGAGGCAGCAGUGGGGAAUAUUGCACAAUGGGCGCAAGCCUGAUGCAGCCAUGCCGCGUGUGUGAAGAAGGCCUUCGGGUUGUAAAGCACUUUCAGUCGUGAGGAAGGUAGUGUAGUUAAUAGCUGCAUUAUUUGACGUUAGCUACAGAAGAAGCACCGGCUAACUCCGUGCCAGCAGCCGCGGUAAUACGGAGGGUGCGAGCGUUAAUCGGAAUUACUGGGCGUAAAGCGCAUGCAGGUGGUUAGUUAAGUCAGAUGUGAAAGCCCGGGGCUCAACCUCGGAACUGCAUUUGAAACUGGCUGACUAGAGUACUGUAGAGGGGGGUAGAAUUUCAGGUGUAGCGGUGAAAUGCGUAGAGAUCUGAAGGAAUACCGGUGGCGAAGGCGGCCCCCUGGACAGAUACUGACACUCAGAUGCGAAAGCGUGGGGAGCAAACAGGAUUAGAUACCCUGGUAGUCCACGCCGUAAACGAUGUCUACUUGGAGGUUGUGGCCUUGAGCCGUGGCUUUCGGAGCUAACGCGUUAAGUAGACCGCCUGGGGAGUACGGUCGCAAGAUUAAAACUCAAAUGAAUUGACGGGGGCCCGCACAAGCGGUGGAGCAUGUGGUUUAAUUCGAUGCAACGCGAAGAACCUUACCUACUCUUGACAUCCAGAGAACUUAGCAGAGAUGCUUUGGUGCCUUCGGGAACUCUGAGACAGGUGCUGCAUGGCUGUCGUCAGCUCGUGUUGUGAAAUGUUGGGUUAAGUCCCGCAACGAGCGCAACCCUUAUCCUUGUUUGCCAGCACUUCGGGUGGGAACUCCAGGGAAACUGCCGGUGAUAAACCGGAAGAAGGUG
This 1137-nucleotide ribosomal RNA is filed under the name Vibrio sp. RNAcentral's name for it is "bacterial SSU rRNA". It matches the Rfam family "Bacterial small subunit ribosomal RNA", at positions 56 to 1175 of the family's 1533-position model. Lineage: Bacteria; Pseudomonadati; Pseudomonadota; Gammaproteobacteria; Vibrionales; Vibrionaceae. The record is from RNAcentral.